AGCAUCGCCGCGGUAACACGAAGGGGGCUAGCGUUGCUCGGAAUCACUGGGCGUAAAGGGUGCGUAGGCGGGUCUUUAAGUCAGGGGUGAAAUCCUGGAGCUCAACUCCAGAACUGCCUUUGAUACUGAAGAUCUUGAGUUCGGGAGAGGUGAGUGGAACUGCGAGUGUAGAGGUGAAAUUCGUAGAUAUUCGCAAGAACACCAGUGGCGAAGGCGGCUCACUGGCCCGAUACUGACGCUGAGGCACGAAAGCGUGGGGAGCAAACAGGAUUAGAUACCCGGGUAGUCCCUGUCUCUUAUACA
RNAcentral lists this ribosomal RNA (303 nucleotides) under uncultured bacterium. RNAcentral's name for it is "partial 16S ribosomal RNA". It matches the Rfam family "Bacterial small subunit ribosomal RNA", at positions 510 to 808 of the family's 1533-position model. The record is from RNAcentral.